GUGUCAGCAGCCGCGGUAAUACGUAGGGGGCAAACGUUGUCCGGAUUUACUGGGUGUAAAGGGUGCUCAGGCGGUUUAGUAAGUUAGAAGUGAAAUCCUAGGGCUUAACUCUGGAACUGCUUUUAAUACUGCUAAGCUUGAAUGUGGAAGAGGAUGAUGGAAUUUCUGGUGUAGCAGUGAAAUGCGUAGAUAUCAGAAAGAACACCAGUGGCGAAGGCGGUCAUCUGGUCCACUAUUGACGCUAAAGCACGAAAGCGUGGGGAGCAAACAGGAUUAGAAACCCCCGUAGUCC
Molecule: ribosomal RNA, 292 nt
Filed under: uncultured bacterium
Lineage: Bacteria
Description: partial 16S ribosomal RNA
Rfam family: Bacterial small subunit ribosomal RNA
Source: RNAcentral